Molecule: ribosomal RNA, 429 nt
Filed under: Gemmatimonadota bacterium
Lineage: Bacteria; Pseudomonadati; Gemmatimonadota
Description: Gemmatimonadetes bacterium partial 16S ribosomal RNA
Rfam family: Bacterial small subunit ribosomal RNA
Source: RNAcentral
UAGGGAAUCUUCGGCAAUGGACGAAAGUCUGACCGAGCAACGCCGCGGGAGUGAAGAAGGUUUUCGGAUCGUAAAACUCUGUUGUUAGAGAAGAACAAGGACGUUAGUAACUGAACGUCCCCUGACGGUAUCUAACCAGAAAGCCACGGCUAACUACGUGCCAGCAGCCGCGGUAAUACGUAGGUGGCAAGCGUUGUCCGGAUUUAUUGGGCGUAAAGCGAGCGCAGGCGGUUUCUUAAGUCUGAUGUGAAAGCCCCCGGCUCAACCGGGGAGGGUCAUUGGACACUGGGAGACUUGAGUGCAGAAGAGGAGAGUGGAAUUCCAUGUGUAGCGGUGAAAUGCGUAGAUAUAUGGCGGAACACCAGUGGCGAAGGCGGCUCUCUGGUCUGUAACUGACGCUGAGGCUCGAAAGCGUGUGGAGCAAACAGG